RNAcentral lists this unclassified non-coding RNA (243 nucleotides) under uncultured fungus. RNAcentral's name for it is "sequence contains ITS2". The record is from RNAcentral. Lineage: Eukaryota; Fungi.
AACGCACAUUGCGCCCCUUGGUAUUCCGGGGGGCAUGCCUGUUCGAGCGUCAUUACACCACUCAAGCCUCGCUUGGUAUUGGAGGACGCGGUCCGCCGCGCCUCUCAAAUCGACCGGCUGAGUUCACCGUCUCUUAGCGUUGUGGAAUUUCUAUUCGCUUGCGAGAACUGGUGGCGCUCACGCCGUUAAACACCUUCUUUCUAGGUUGACCUCGGAUCAGGUAGGGAUACCCGCUGAACUUAA